GAGGAUUUAGCUCAGUGGUAGAGCACUUGCCUAGCAAGCACAAGGCCCUGGGUUCCGUCCCCAGCUCU
This 68-nucleotide transfer RNA is filed under the name Rattus norvegicus (Norway rat). It matches the Rfam family "tRNA". From Rfam's summary of the family: Transfer RNA (tRNA) molecules are approximately 80 nucleotides in length. Their secondary structure includes four short double-helical elements and three loops (D, anti-codon, and T loops). Further hydrogen bonds mediate the characteristic L-shaped molecular structure. tRNAs have two regions of fundamental functional importance: the anti-codon, which is responsible for specific mRNA codon recognition, and the 3' end, to which the tRNAs corresponding amino acid is attached (by aminoacyl-tRNA synthetases). tRNAs cope with the degeneracy of the genetic code in two manners: having more than one tRNA (with a specific anti-codon) for a particular amino acid; and 'wobble' base-pairing, i.e. permitting non-standard base-pairing at the 3rd anti-codon position. Lineage: Eukaryota; Metazoa; Chordata; Mammalia; Rodentia; Muridae. The record is from Rfam by way of RNAcentral.